This is a long non-coding RNA of Zea mays, 1012 nucleotides long. RefSeq lists it as uncharacterized. The transcript is spliced from 2 exons. Lineage: Eukaryota; Viridiplantae; Streptophyta; Magnoliopsida; Poales; Poaceae. The record is from RefSeq and is a predicted model, not a curated record.
UUUUUCUGAGGCACAUGGGUACAAUCAGCACAAACUCCAUUUGCCAAGAAAAGGUUAUAAUGCAUUCACACCAAUAAAUGUUCGUUUCACAAGACAUAAGCAAAGAAUUUUCAAGAUUUAUUUUUUUUAUCAGAACAAUAAGUAUAAGUGUCAUAGCGUACUGAUUACUGAACGAAACCUGCUGCAUUUGCCAAGAACCUAUAACUUUGAAAGAUCUAAGGAAGGAUAUACCCAUGUUCCUUUCUGCUAAAAAUUUGUUUCAUCUGCAUCGUUGAAACUUCAUAAGUCAAUUCAUCAUCUACAACCUUUCGUCAGACCCUUGCCCAUAUUCCUGACACAUAAAGUUUACAAAACAAUCACAAUGAAACUACAGUGCAUAGGUUUCACUAAAAGACCGUUUGGCAUGCAUGUUUUUUCUUUACUUUUCUCCUUUACUCUUCAGACCAGUUGUGAAUAAGUAGGCUGAUCAAGUUCAAUUAAUGUUGACUGUUUUGUCUUUAUCUUACUGGUCGUAUAACAUCAACAGAGACGGUUAUGCUGCAGAAGCAAUGCUUGGGAGACUUCAUUGAUCGCAUAAACUCUGAUAAAGCUGUUAUUGUAUCUGUGUCUCUCCAGUCAAGAGCAUCACUAGCUGCAUUCUUCGGUCUUUCCCAGUUACAUGGGCUUGCCUACUUGUUCCCCUGACCAUAUAAUUCCAAGACCCUGAUGAUGGCCACAACUGCUUAUAUUGAUGAUUCCUACUCGGAGAUUAUUGAUCCUCUAAAGACUGAGGCGUUGUAUGUUGUUGAACUCCCUGGUGACCAUACUCAGCACCCACCAAAACCGAAUGUGGUGGUGUCUAGCAGUGUGUGCGAACUUCUAGAAUACCCAGUCUGCUUGAAUGUCAUGUAUCCUAUUCAUCAGCUGCACAUUCAUACUGAUCCAUUUGGCAUGUUUAUAUCUAAAACCCUGUUCAAAUGUAGUCGAUUGGAUGAAAAUUAUGGCUUUACUGGUUUCAGCGUUCCUUUCAAUA